RNAcentral lists this unclassified non-coding RNA (253 nucleotides) under uncultured Myxococcales bacterium. RNAcentral describes it as "contains 16S-23S intergenic spacer region". It matches the Rfam family "Bacterial small subunit ribosomal RNA", at positions 524 to 776 of the family's 1533-position model. The record is from RNAcentral. Lineage: Bacteria; Pseudomonadati; Myxococcota; Myxococcia; Myxococcales.
GACAGAGGGUGCAAGCGUUGUUCGGAAUCAUUGGGCGUAAAGCGCACGUAGGCGGCUUUGUAAGUCGGAUGUGAAAGCCCGGGGCCCAACCUCGGAAGUGCAUCCGAAACUGCAUGGCUCGAGUCCUGGAGAGGGUGGCGGAAUUCCUGGUGUAGAGGUGAAAUUCGUAGAUAUCAGGAGGAACACCGGUGGCGAAGGCGGCCACCUGGACAGUGACUGACGCUGAGGUGCGAAAGCGUGGGGAGCAAACAGG